GAUUACGGCAGCAACGCGUUGCCACUUUCGAAGAUGCCUGCAGGCAUAUCUGACUUAUUAUAAAUACAUAAUGACAUAUUAAUGACUUGACAUCGUCUUUUGAACUAUCAAGUGGUUACUGGUUACGCGUUUCUGAGAAUCGUUUGUAAGACGUUGCUACUCUAGUAUUUUAGAAACUCAUUGGCUUAGACAUUUAUG
Long non-coding RNA from Aricia agestis (brown argus), 198 nucleotides. RefSeq lists it as uncharacterized. The record is from RefSeq and is a predicted model, not a curated record. NCBI's taxonomy places the organism in Eukaryota, Metazoa, Arthropoda, Insecta, Lepidoptera, Lycaenidae. The transcript is spliced from 3 exons.